GACGAACGCUGGCGGCGUGCUUAACACAUGCAAGUCGAACGGAAAGGCCCCAGCUUGCUGGGGUACUCGAGUGGCGAACGGGUGAGUAACACGUGGGUGAUCUGCCCUGCACUCUGGGAUAAGCCUGGGAAACUGGGUCUAAUACCGGAUAGGACCGUGCUUUAGUGUGUGCGGUGGAAAGUUUUUCGGUGCAGGAUGAGCCCGCGGCCUAUCAGCUUGUUGGUGGGGUAAUGGCCUACCAAGGCGGCGACGGGUAGCCGGCCUGAGAGGGUGUACGGCCACAUUGGGACUGAGACACGGCCCAGACUCCUACGGGAGGCAGCAGUGGGGAAUAUUGCACAAUGGGCGCAAGCCUGAUGCGGCGACGCCGCGUGGGGGAUGACGGCCUUCGGGUUGUAAACCCCUUUCGGCAGGGACGAAGCUUUUGUGACGGUACCUGCAGAAGAAGCACCGGCUAACUACGUG
RNAcentral lists this ribosomal RNA (465 nucleotides) under uncultured bacterium. RNAcentral's name for it is "partial 16S ribosomal RNA". It matches the Rfam family "Bacterial small subunit ribosomal RNA", at positions 28 to 507 of the family's 1533-position model. The record is from RNAcentral.